CUACGGGUGGCUGCAGUGGGGAAUCUUAGACAAUGGGGGAAACCCUGAUCUAGCCAUGCCGCGUGAGCGAUGAAGGCCUUAGGGUUGUAAAGCUCUUUCAGCUGGGAAGAUAAUGACGGUACCAGCAGAAGAAGCCCCGGCUAACUCCGUGCCAGCAGCCGCGGUAAUACGGAGGGGGCUAGCGUUGUUCGGAAUUACUGGGCGUAAAGCGCACGUAGGCGGAUUGUUAAGUCGGGGGUGAAAUCCCGGGGCUCAACCCCGGAACUGCCUUCGAUACUGGCAAUCUUGAGGUCGAGAGAGGUGAGUGGAAUUCCGAGUGUAGAGGUGAAAUUCGUAGAUAUUCGGAGGAACACCAGUGGCGAAGGCGGCUCACUGGCUCGAUACUGACGCUGAGGUGCGAAAGCGUGGGGAGCAAACAGGAUUAGAUACCCCCGUAGUC
Molecule: ribosomal RNA, 439 nt
Filed under: uncultured bacterium
Lineage: Bacteria
Description: partial 16S ribosomal RNA
Rfam family: Bacterial small subunit ribosomal RNA
Source: RNAcentral